RNAcentral lists this ribosomal RNA (484 nucleotides) under uncultured bacterium. RNAcentral describes it as "bacterial SSU rRNA". It matches the Rfam family "Bacterial small subunit ribosomal RNA", at positions 28 to 507 of the family's 1533-position model. The record is from RNAcentral.
GAUGAACGCUAGCGGCAGGCCUAAUACAUGCAAGUCGAACGGUAGAUCGGGUAGCAAUACUUGAUUGAGAGUGACGUAAGGGUGCGUAACACGUAUGCAAUCUACCCUCAACAGGAGUAUAGCUCGGGGGAAACUCGGAUUAACACUCCAUAACAUUACGAUGUGGCAUCACAUUGUGAUUAAAACUCCGGUGGUUGAGGAUGAGCAUGCGUCUGAUUAGUUAGUUGGAGGUGUAACGGACCCCCAAGACGAUGAUCAGUAGGGGAACUGAGAGGUUGAUCCCCCACACUGGCACUGAGAUACGGGCCAGACUCCUACGGGAGGCAGCAGUAGGGAAUAUUGGUCAAUGGGUGAGAGCCUGAACCAGCCAUGCCGCGUGCAGGAAGACGGCCUUUUGGGUUGUAAACUGCUUUUAUCUGGGGAUAAAAAGCCCAUGCGUGGGACAUUGAAGGUACCAGAUGAAUAAGCACCGGCUAACUACGUG